CCGGCUGGAUGGCGCGGCCCGGAGGCGGGGGGAGGAGUGGGAGGGCGGAGAGGGAGGAUGCCAGGAUGGAUGAAGCGAGGGGGUUGGUAGAGCGAGGAGAGGGAGAGAGAAAGUGUGCGUGGGUGGAGGGGACGGGGAAAGGAAGGUCGGGCCGUGCGGACUAAGACUUUAGGUUUCUAGGGUUAAGGUGAAAGGUCCGACGUCGCCGCCCGGCCCCCCGCCAGUCGGUACCUCAAAUUCCACCACAGCUUCUGCCGGCGCAACGGGCGUCGGACCGUGCCAUGCUCGGUCCCUCGCGUCCCGGCCUCGUCGCAGCGGAAACCUAGCCGCACCUCCUUCCGCAGCAGCGCCGGCCGCGCCCGCGACAAGCGACGUUGAUUGUUGAGGCGCGGCCACCGGUCCCACCUCUUUGUCUCCUAUCUAGUUUCAGUUUAUGACUGAAACCUGUCAUAGUCUUGGAGCAACUAAUCUGAUCUUCUGUCGUAGUAUAAGCCAGAGAACCUCUCUCGUGUCAUAACAAUGUUACGACUAUGUAUACUAUCGCUAAGAAAGGUACACCUACCUAAACCACCGAGAAACCAACUUAAGUACCAAUCUCUUUGACUUUUCGAUGUACGUUUCCAACCCUCUAUGUUCUCGGGUCUACUCGUGGGUAAGAAAGGUCUUCUAGACGGACUCUGUGACAACGGCGGAUAGGUCAUAGGUUGCCAAGACGUAGGAUAACGACUAAGGUAAUUAUAGUUGUUUCUCUAAACCUUUUACAUGAAACUACUUCAAGAAGGUUCCGAUCACUUCCUUCCUUCACUACCUUUAAGACCUAGGUCACGAGAAACGCUGUGCUGGACGAACGUCCGUGAGAGAUUCUCUUAGGUGAUACCUUUCAAACACCGUCUCCGGUUCAAAGUUCUCAGGGGACUUCUAAUGUGAGGACGUUAUUUUCGAGUCCUGCCGCGAGUUGAUUACGUCGAGGAGUGGAUGCUCUGCCAACUCGCACGGUAGCUUGUAGCCCACCUUUGGUUCCGGUUCUAUAAACCUGUCCUCCACUUGUAUCCUCGACUUCGGUUCCCGUACCGCGGACACAUGUUCUAGUCCGGGUCGGACCAGCGACCUGACAUGCCGUUGUCCUAGUACGGCGAUUGGUUCCUGCAGGUCCAUCGUAUGAACGAUUCCUCCGACCUGACUCGCGAGUGUUUACACGUCACGUCACGGACGAGACAGCAGGCUAAAAGAGCGCAGUAGUUUCUUAUUUGCCCCGUCCUUUGCCGGUAUCCGUGUAAGUAUAACCCUGAGUUGAACCUUCUUGUAUAAACUCUGCAAAUAACAAAGUAGAUAUAUCUAAAAACAUAGUGUUCUCGUUCUCCUCGGUGGCACGCCACCCUGACACCGUAUACUAGUAAAGAUAACGACAACCACAAAACGUUUCGAAACUUAGAAUCUCGUCGAGAACGACUAAGACAUUUUGGAGUCGGACAUAUUACCAAAAUUCCUGCUAGCCAGUUCAAACAUCUCUCCAACCGCCGUUUUAGUCAAAUAAAAAAAUAAAAACUCAACUCGCUUUAGUUUAAGUCGUAUUGUACAAGACGG
This 1584-nucleotide ribosomal RNA is filed under the name Triticum aestivum (bread wheat). RNAcentral's name for it is "partial small subunit ribosomal RNA". The record is from RNAcentral. Lineage: Eukaryota; Viridiplantae; Streptophyta; Magnoliopsida; Poales; Poaceae.